UUGUUGCGAAGGUUCGCCGGCGUUGGUGAUGGAGGUGAGGCGGAGGUUGUGAAAUGGUGAUAGAUCCAAUGUUGAAGGGUUAGUGACGGUAGGUGUUUGACGGCGUGAAAGUUAACGAAGGUGAAUCGUGGCGGAGAGGAAGAGGGUUCGUGGUGGUUUUGUGGUUAUGAAUGGAGGUUUUCGGUGAGGGUUCCGUGGUGGUAGAUCGGAGGAAGAAGAAUGGAUGGUGAAGUG
This 234-nucleotide long non-coding RNA is filed under the name Lathyrus oleraceus (garden pea). RNAcentral's name for it is "Pisum sativum (pea) long non-coding RNA (PSAT_LNC028417)". The record is from RNAcentral. Lineage: Eukaryota; Viridiplantae; Streptophyta; Magnoliopsida; Fabales; Fabaceae.